RNAcentral lists this ribosomal RNA (531 nucleotides) under uncultured bacterium. RNAcentral describes it as "bacterial SSU rRNA". It matches the Rfam family "Bacterial small subunit ribosomal RNA", at positions 9 to 529 of the family's 1533-position model. The record is from RNAcentral.
GAGUUUGAUCCUGGCUCAGAUUGAACGCUGGCGGCAGGCCUAACACAUGCAAGUCGAACGGUAACAGGAAGAAGCUUGCUUCUUUGCUGACGAGUGGCGGACGGGUGAGUAAUGUCUGGGAAACUGCCUGAUGGAGGGGGAUAACUACUGGAAACGGUAGCUAAUACCGCAUAACGUCGCAAGACCAAAGAGGGGGACCUUCGGGCCUCUUGCCAUCGGAUGUGCCCAGAUGGGAUUAGCUAGUAGGUGGGGUAACGGCUCACCUAGGCGACGAUCCCUAGCUGGUCUGAGAGGAUGACCAGCCACACUGGAACUGAGACACGGUCCAGACUCCUACGGGAGGCAGCAGUGGGGAAUAUUGCACAAUGGGCGCAAGCCUGAUGCAGCCAUGCCGCGUGUAUGAAGAAGGCCUUCGGGUUGUAAAGUACUUUCAGCGGGGAGGAAGGGAGUAAAGUUAAUACCUUUGCUCAUUGACGUUACCCGCAGAAGAAGCACCGGCUAACUCCGUGCCAGCAGCCGCGGUAAUACGGA